CUAGAAAAACAGGUGUUGAACCUAUACCUGAGAAUUCAAAAAUCUCCGUGCUACCGAUUACACCACAAUCUA
Molecule: transfer RNA, 72 nt
Filed under: Phataginus tricuspis (Tree pangolin)
Lineage: Eukaryota; Metazoa; Chordata; Mammalia; Pholidota; Manidae
Description: Manis tricuspis (Tree pangolin) tRNA-Gln
Source: RNAcentral